Zonotrichia albicollis (white-throated sparrow) is the source of this 368-nucleotide long non-coding RNA. RefSeq lists it as uncharacterized. The record is from RefSeq and is a predicted model, not a curated record. Lineage: Eukaryota; Metazoa; Chordata; Aves; Passeriformes; Passerellidae.
UCCCACAUCCAAUAAUGCAGAUGUUGGCUUGCCUCAGCCCUGUGUUCCCCUGCCAAAGAGGGGUGAGAGGGCUCUUUCCAGCCCCUGAAUGCUCCUGGGACAUCCAUGAUCUACCCUGCAGCUGGCCUGGGUCUGCCUCUUCUUUCUGUGUGUUGCUCCUGCCCGUGGUGCUCACCUACACCAGCAUAUGGAUUUGGCAGGUGUAAACACAUCCCAGCUUUACCACCUCUGGUUUCUGGAAAUGGACAUUCAUUUUGGGAAGCAAGUGGAAGAGCAGCAUUCUGCCAGGACUGGACUCUAAAUGCUGCUGAACUGGAAUUCAGUUGUCCUGUGUUGCUCAGCAAGUGUGAACAGACCACUCCUGAAAG